Molecule: transfer RNA, 69 nt
Filed under: Ictidomys tridecemlineatus (thirteen-lined ground squirrel)
Lineage: Eukaryota; Metazoa; Chordata; Mammalia; Rodentia; Sciuridae
Description: Spermophilus tridecemlineatus (thirteen-lined ground squirrel) tRNA
Rfam family: tRNA
About the family: Transfer RNA (tRNA) molecules are approximately 80 nucleotides in length. Their secondary structure includes four short double-helical elements and three loops (D, anti-codon, and T loops).
Source: Rfam by way of RNAcentral
GGGGAUGUGACUCAGUGGUAGAGUGCUUGCCUACUAUGUAUGAGCCCCUGGGUUUGAUUCUCAGCACCA